This 1284-nucleotide long non-coding RNA is filed under the name Equus caballus (horse). Its description in RNAcentral is "lncRNA (ENSECAG00000046695.1)". Lineage: Eukaryota; Metazoa; Chordata; Mammalia; Perissodactyla; Equidae. The record is from RNAcentral.
ACGAUUAAACAGAAGACUACAGAGAGUAAGAGUUUAGAUUUGGCUGUAAUUCAAGUUGGUUCAUUUUCUUUCCACAAAUAGUAUGCCUGAAGUGAAAAAAUAUAUCUAAUCUGCUUAUGGCAUCUGCCUGUUCUUCUUAUGCCUUUUGGUCACUCUGAGAAACUGCUAUUAACAUUAUUAUUUUGACUUCUUUUCUUAAACAUUUUUACUUCAAACACUAUACUUUAUAAGAUUAUUCAUAAGUUGUUCUCUAUGGCUUGACUUCCUGUUUAUCUUGGUGUAACAAAUUUCACUGAAAAAUGAGUGCCCACUGUGAACAAAGAUUUAUUCCAAACAAUCAUUGCCCACAAGGAGCCUUCAGGGGAAUGAACUACCUUGGAAAAAGUUCCAACCAAAAUAUUGUGCAAGGACAAAACUUUAGGUCCUUUUUAUUCUUUGCUGCUUAAGUGGAUGCAUGGUAGUCUUAUACUGACAGUGAGGUACAUUUGAACUCUUGGGUGUGGUUCAUGGGAAGAUGGGAUCCAGACCCGUUUCUGAUGUUACCUUCUUCUUUUAGACUGUCUAUAACUUGUGUUAUGCUCCUUCUCUCUUCUCCAAGCUUAAUUCCUUUGAACACAGAGAAUUGGUGCCAUGGCAACUGAGGCUCUGUGAUAUCACCAAUGAGCUCACUGCCUCUCUUGCCCUACUCAGGCUGUCAGUGGAUGGUUCUCGGGGUGAACAAACCAUGCCAGUUUGGAUAUUUGAGGACAAUGCUAAGCUUAAGUCAAACAAUUCAUUUUACUGCUGAAGAGAAGAUGUCUUUCAGGCCUGGAAGUCAUUGCUUAAGUUAGGAAUACCCAGGGAAAACCAGGUCCCGAUUAGGUUUCUGGAUUUAAACUCUGGGAAAAAAUCAACACUGGACCCGAAAGCCACUGGCAGAAAGUGGUGACCUGGGGGUAAAUCUGACCUUCCCAGGCCUUCUGUUUGUCAGGCAGGAUGUUGUGGACUAUAUAGCAGCUAAACCACAAGGGCUGUGCUGGGCCAGGCUCUGCUUUGGGCAGUAUGGCCCGAGGCACCCAGGUCCCUAUCUUUGCACAGACUUCCUCAGGCUGUAUGUAAAGGCUCUAAGGGUUGCUAUGUCUCCUGUGGAGUUUGGGUGGAAGAGAGAGAAGUGGACAGAUAUACAUACUUGGUCAUUUCAUAACUGACUUUAGAUCAAUGAUAUCUAAACUUUUGGAGUAGGUAUAGGUAGUGCUUAAUUUCACCAUGUUGUCUUCUCUGUUCUUUCCAAACAAGCCAUGGACA